This 2559-nucleotide long non-coding RNA is filed under the name Oreochromis niloticus (Nile tilapia). RNAcentral's name for it is "lncRNA (ENSONIG00000030587.1)". Lineage: Eukaryota; Metazoa; Chordata; Actinopteri; Cichliformes; Cichlidae. The record is from RNAcentral.
AUAAAUGUCGGCUUGAUGACCAUUAAAAAGGGUGGUUUGAAGCCAUACCGUGGAAAAACUAUUUUCCUAACAACAGACCCUGACGCUACUGCCACAGGUCUGCUCAAUCAAGCUGUUAAAAAAAUGAAGGACUUUAACAAAGAUCUAAAAGAUGGACCUUUCCUUCUUCUGUAUCCGGAUGGCACUGAGGUCAUUACUGUCCCUGGAACACAAAGACCAUUUACACUUGAGGCUUAUAAGGCUGAAGUUGGCAAGCCUUAUCAAAGAAUCACUGUUUUCAUCUGCUUGAAGAGUGACUUUGAAGAUGUUGGAGAAAACUCAGACUUGUCUGACUCUGACCCAGAGAUUGUUAUUAAAAGGCCCUCUGAGUUUGAUCUUGCUGAUACACUGCCAUUGGAACUUCAACAUGAAAGCAGUCCUUUACAGAAAGCGGCAGAAUAUGAGAAGGGUGCUGGGGAUCUUGUGCUUGCUAAUGAAGUACAACAGAGACACCAAUUUGCAGGCACAUGGAAUUAUUGCAAAUUUGGCACUGGAACUUGACCACAAGAAGGUCAGCAGGUUCAAUAUAUCAAGGUCAGCUGUAUGGGAUGGAGCUGUUAGAGGAUUUCGACGCAGCACAUACUCUGACAACUACGACAUGUUCAUCAAGUUUAAUGAUGAUGCUGGCAGCUUUGAAGAAGGUUUGGAUACAGGUGGCCCGAGGCGUGAAUUCCUCACACUUCUUAUGGGCAGUCUGCGAAAUCGCCCCAUCUUUGAUGGACCUCCAGAGAGCCGUUAUCUUGUAUAUAAUUCAAGAGGUGGAUGUUUUCUCCGUAAUUAUUACAAUGGAAAUUUUAAUAAAAAUUGGCGUAUUUUUUCAUUAGCAUAUUUAAUAGCAAUUAACCAUGAUAAUUAUGUGCCCUGUAUAACAGCUGCCAGGCAAGAUGAGUACUUUUUAGCAGGAAAGAUGAUCGCUGUAUCCAUUGUGCAUGGGGACCAGCACCACAUUUCCUCUCCAAGAACCUGGUCAACCACAUCACAGGGAAUCAGAGUUUCAGCGCCACUGUAGAAGAUGUGCAAGAUGAGGAGAUCACAAAAAUUUUACAUCAGAUUUAAAGAUGGACUGGAAAGUCUGAAUUUUUUAAGUGCACUGCAACAAAAUUCCAGUGUGCUGGCCCCACUCCUAUGCUUCUCUGCCAAGGCCCUGACUGCUUCAGAACUGGAGAGCAUGUUCAGAGCAGAUCUCAGCCCAGCAGGAAGCAACAAGCGGCAUAAGGAGGUCCUAACACUUGGCUUUUGGGCAGAUUAUCUCCUUGAUUGUGAAGGUUUGAAUGACCAUUUUUAUUUGUUUAUAGUUUUAUGAAAGGAGAGGUGAGGAAAUAAAUUUUCUGUAAUGUACUACAGUGUUUACUUUCUUCUUUCAGAGAAGGCAACAGCAGUGUGUCUGGAAGAUUUGAUGAUGUUUGCCACAGGGCUGACGGCAGUUCCACCGGCAGGAAUGACACCACCACCACGCAUCCAGUUUUUAAGUGUUUCGCCUUUUCCAGUUGCAAACACCUGUGCAAAUACUCUGAAGCUACCCAUCUGUGACUCAUACAGCAUCUUUAAGGCCAACAUGGACUUUGGAAUUCAAAAUGCUCCAGGAUUUGGAUGUUCUUAAAUCAGCAAGGUCAUCAAGUUACAGUUACUGAGUUACCCUGUUAGGUUCAGCUGCCGUUGGCAUACUACUUAACACAUUUAUGUGACAAGCAACUUCCAUAUUGUUAAACAUUUAGUUGUUUUUUCUGAAUAUUGUGUAUGUUGGAAAAGUGACAGAAAUGCUGGACACUAUUUGUAAAUGGUUUUAUUAAAGAACAUUUUAAAUGUUUCCUUGUGGUUAAAUGUUAAUAUUUAAAUCCAUGCCAGUUGCUGUAUAUUAUGAACAAUAUUAUAUUCAAUUUAGCAAGAGGGAAAGGAAACACUACUAACAUUAAAAAAUGAAGGAAAAACAGAAGGGCUGGAGCACUCAAGUCCCAAAGGUUUUAUUAGGUGCAAAAAAAGGAAAGAAACUAACGUUUCGACACCGUGUGUGUCUUCGUCAGAGUAACUCUGACAAAUGUCAUUACAAACUGAAGUUCAGUUGGUAUCUAAAACCCAGCUAUGUCCUUCAGGGCCAAAUACAGUUCUGUGGCCGAUUCCCAGUCUUGUGGCUGCUGCAGUGUGUUUUGUUGUACAGCCUGUUGUAAAUAUUCCCCAAUGUUUGGAUCACCAGACAAUCCAACCAGUAGCCCCUCCUCGGGAAACACAUCCAGUUCCCUCUCCUCAACAGCAAAUCCACAGUCUCUUGAACCAUAUCUGCAAAAUGAAAAUAGAACAGUGAAGGAUUUUUUGCUGACAAUAUGGAACUAUAUAAAUCAACGCAUGCGGUGACAUGUUAUAAACUGCUCUAUCAUACUUAUGUGUAAAAUUAUGAAUAUAUAUUAACCAACUUAAGCAAUAACAACACCUUGCAUUUAGUUUGAUGCAAAAGGUUAAUUUUGUUAAGAACUCAAAUACCUGUGAGGCAAGAGAUAGAGUUUGUUUGCAAUCCCCCCUGGACAC